RNAcentral lists this ribosomal RNA (489 nucleotides) under uncultured bacterium. RNAcentral's name for it is "partial 16S ribosomal RNA". It matches the Rfam family "Bacterial small subunit ribosomal RNA", at positions 30 to 506 of the family's 1533-position model. The record is from RNAcentral.
AUUGAACGCUGGCGGCAGGCCUAACACAUGCAAGUCGAACGGUAACAGGAAACAGCUUGCUGUUUCGCUGACGAGUGGCGGACGGGUGAGUAAUGUCUGGGAAACUGCCUGAUGGAGGGGGAUAACUACUGGAAACGGUAGCUAAUACCGCAUAACGUCGCAAGACCAAAGAGGGGGACCUUCGGGCCUCUUGCCAUCGGAUGUGCCCAGAUGGGAUUAGCUAGUAGGUGGGGUAACGGCUCACCUAGGCGACGAUCCCUAGCUGGUCUGAGAGGAGGACCAGCCACACUGGAACUGAGACACGGUCCAGACUCCUACGGGAGGCAGCAGUGGGGAAUAUUGCACAAUGGGCGCAAGCCUGAUGCAGCCAUGCCGCGUGUAUGAAGAAGGCCUUCGGGUUGUAAAGUACUUUCAGCGGGGAGGAAGGGAGUAAAGUUAAUACCUUUACUCAUUGACGUUACCCGCAGAAGAAGCACCGGCUAACUCCGU